Molecule: ribosomal RNA, 302 nt
Filed under: uncultured bacterium
Lineage: Bacteria
Description: partial 16S ribosomal RNA
Rfam family: Bacterial small subunit ribosomal RNA
Source: RNAcentral
GCAGCAGCCGCGGUAAUACGAAGGGUGCAAGCGUUAAUCGGAAUUACUGGGCGUAAAGCGUGCGCAGGCGGUUUGUUAAGACAGAUGUGAAAUCCCCGGGCUCAACCUGGGAACUGCAUUUGUGACUGGCAAGCUAGAGUGUGGCAGAGGGGGGUGGAAUUCCGCGUGUAGCAGUGAAAUGCGUAGAUAUGCGGAGGAACACCGAUGGCGAAGGCAGCCCCCUGGGCCAACACUGACGCUCAUGCACGAAAGCGUGGGGAGCAAACAGGAUUAGAUACCCCGGUAGUCCCUGUCUCUUAUAC